RNAcentral lists this ribosomal RNA (309 nucleotides) under uncultured bacterium. RNAcentral describes it as "partial 16S ribosomal RNA". The record is from RNAcentral.
GGACUACUAGGGUUUCUAAUCCUGUUUGCUCCCCACGCUGUCGCGCCUCAGCGUCAGCUAUUGACUCUUGCGAGUCACUGCCCAGCAGGCCGCCUUCGCCACCGGUGUUCUUCCGGAUCUCUACGCAUUCCACCGCUACACCCGGAAUUCCACCUGCCUCUACAGUGCUCGAGCCCAGCAGUUGCCACGGCCGACCCGGGGUUGAGCCCCGGGCUUUCACCGCAACCUUACCGAGCCGCCUACGCGCCCUUUACGCCCAGUGAUUCCGGACAACGCUCGCACCCUCUGUAUUACCGCGGCGGCUGGCAC